Molecule: long non-coding RNA, 378 nt
Organism: Penaeus chinensis
Lineage: Eukaryota; Metazoa; Arthropoda; Malacostraca; Decapoda; Penaeidae
Exons: 3
Source: RefSeq, a predicted model, not a curated record
GUAUAAACAAAGGCUUUUCCGAGGAGAAAAGGAUCGAUGGGUUCCGGUACGGCACCCGCGUAUGGUUUAGAAAGGGGCGCUUUGAACGGUUUCGUCGCUGGAUUAUAUAACUUAUACAUCCUUCUGUAUUAUAUAACAUUGAAAUUAUAUUAUAAUUGCGCUCCUAGCAAUUGCCAAGUGUUGCAAAGAACGACUCUCAUGUGCCUCCAGGCGACAGCUUGUGCUAAUGCUUGAUCCAAUUUGGGAAAGCCUGAUCAGGUCAGUUUGGCGCAGGUUCCGGGGGCGGUCGAAGGUGUCCAAGGUCUUGACGAAGGAGGCGUUGCCGUCCAAGCGGUCCAGGGCGGCCCUCAGGAAGUCCACGCCGGAGUUGAGGACGUU